UACGUAGGGAGCGAGCGUUGUCCGGAAUUACUGGGUGUAAAGGGAGCGUAGGCGGGCGAGAAAGUUGAAUGUUAAAUCUACCGGCUUAACUGGUAGCUGCGUUCAAAACUUCUUGCCUUGAGUGAAGUAGAGGCAGGCGGAAUUCCUAGUGUAGCGGUGAAAUGCGUAGAUAUUAGGAGGAACACCAGUGGCGAAGGCGGCCUGCUGGGCUUUAACUGACGCUGAGGCUCGAAAGCGUGGGGAGCAAACAGG
Molecule: ribosomal RNA, 252 nt
Filed under: uncultured bacterium
Lineage: Bacteria
Description: partial 16S ribosomal RNA
Rfam family: Bacterial small subunit ribosomal RNA
Source: RNAcentral